GCAAACAGGAUUAGAUACCCUGGUAGUCACGCUGUAAACGAUGUCGAUUUGGAGUUUGUUGCCUAGAGUGAUGGGCUCCGAAGCUAACGCGAUAAAUCGACCGCUGGGGAGUACGGCCGCAAGGUUAAAACUCAAAUGAAUUGACGGGGGCCCGCACAAGCGGUGGAGCAUGUGGUUUAAUUCGAUGCAACGCGAAGAACCUUACCUGGUCUUGACAUCCAUAGAAUUCUGCAGAGAUGUGGGAGUGCCUUCGGGAACUAUGAGACAGGUGCUGCAUGGCUGUCGUCAGCUCGUGUUGUGAAAUGUUGGGUUAAGUCCCGCAACGAGCGCAACCCUUAUUCCUUGUUGCCAGCGAUUUGGUCGGGAACUCAAAGGAGACUGCCGUUGAUAAAGCGGAGGAAGGUGGGGACGACGUCAAGUCAUCAUGGCCCUUACGACCAGGGCUACACACGUGCUACAAUGGCGUAUACAAAGGGAAGCGAAGGUGCGAGCUGGAGCGGAUCUCAUAAAGUACGUCUAAGUUCGGAUUGGAGUCUGCAACUCGACUCCAUGAAGUCGGAAUCGCUAGUAAUCGUAGAUCAGAAUGCUACGGUGAAUACGUUCCCGGGCCUUGUACACACCGCCCGUCACACCAUGGGAGUGGGUUGCACCAGAAGUAGAUAGCUUAACCGCGAGGGGGGCGUUUACCACGGUGUGAUUCAUGACUGGGGUGAAGUCGUAACAAGGUAACCA
Molecule: ribosomal RNA, 732 nt
Filed under: uncultured Enterobacteriaceae bacterium
Lineage: Bacteria; Pseudomonadati; Pseudomonadota; Gammaproteobacteria; Enterobacterales; Enterobacteriaceae
Description: bacterial SSU rRNA
Rfam family: Bacterial small subunit ribosomal RNA
Source: RNAcentral